Molecule: ribosomal RNA, 830 nt
Filed under: uncultured bacterium
Lineage: Bacteria
Description: bacterial SSU rRNA
Rfam family: Bacterial small subunit ribosomal RNA
Source: RNAcentral
UCGAGCGAGCGGAACUAAAGAUUUACUUCGGUAAUGACGUUAGGAAAGCGAGCGGCGGAUGGGUGAGUAACACGUGGGGAACCUGCCCCAUAGUCUGGGAUACCACUUGGAAACAGGUGCUAAUACCGGAUAAGAAAGCAGAUCGCAUGAUCAGCUUUUAAAAGGCGGCGUAAGCUGUCGCUAUGGGAUGGCCCCGCGGUGCAUUAGCUAGUUGGUAAGGUAAAGGCUUACCAAGGCGAUGAUGCAUAGCCGAGUUGAGAGACUGAUCGGCCACAUUGGGACUGAGACACGGCCCAAACUCCUACGGGAGGCAGCAGUAGGGAAUCUUCCACAAUGGACGCAAGUCUGAUGGAGCAACGCCGCGUGAGUGAAGAAGGUUUUCGGAUCGUAAAGCUCUGUUGUUGGUGAAGAAGGAUAGAGGUAGUAACUGGCCUUUAUUUGACGGUAAUCAACCAGAAAGUCACGGCUAACUACGUGCCAGCAGCCGCGGUAAUACGUAGGUGGCAAGCGUUGUCCGGAUUUAUUGGGCGUAAAGCGAGCGCAGGCGGAAGAAUAAGUCUGAUGUGAAAGCCCUCGGCUUAACCGAGGAACUGCAUCGGAAACUGUUUUUCUUGAGUGCAGAAGAGGAGAGUGGAACUCCAUGUGUAGCGGUGGAAUGCGUAGAUAUAUGGAAGAACACCAGUGGCGAAGGCGGCUCUCUGGUCUGCAACUGACGCUGAGGCUCGAAAGCAUGGGUAGUGAACAGGAUUAGAUACCCUGGUAGUCCAUGCCGUAAACGAUGAGUGCUAAGUGUUGGGAGGUUUCCGCCUCUCAGUGUUGCAGCUAACGCA